This 1410-nucleotide long non-coding RNA is filed under the name Panax ginseng (ginseng). Its description in RNAcentral is "long non-coding RNA (PGIN_LNC006695)". Lineage: Eukaryota; Viridiplantae; Streptophyta; Magnoliopsida; Apiales; Araliaceae. The record is from RNAcentral.
GCAUUUUGCCAUAGUCCCUAAUUUCCAUUCCCGAGUCCUCUCCUCUCGAGUCUCGACUCUCAGUUUCGCUCUCACCUCUCUCCGACUCUAUCUCAGUAUCUCACAUCACAUCCUCUCCGCCUCUCUCCGUCUUAGUCUCCGCCUCUCAGCCUCUCAUGGCCUUACCCUUCAUUCGGCCUUAGCAAAUCGCAGCCUCCGCGUCUCGGUGGGUAUUCGACAGUUCUCUUGUAAACUAUUUGGUACUAAAAGUUUUAACCUCUGUUUUUUUGUCUCUAGCUUCGAUUUAGUACUAAUAUAUUUAUGUUGAUUUUGAUUAAAUGUUUAAUUGUUAGACUAAGAUUAGUUUUUUCAAGUUUUCUAUUGUUUGUGGACAUAUGAAGUUAAAAGCCUAAUAUAUUUGUUUUUCCUUCCUGAAAAUCAAUUUGGAUGGUGGUAACAUGAUAACAUCUAUCACCUGAAACUAUAACCUUGAUUCCUUGAAUUGAGACUUUCCUUUGUCAAUAUGUGAAUUUGUUUAUCAAGAUGACCCAAGUACCCAACUGUUCUGCUAUGGGAUAUUUUAACAAUUAGCCUUAUAUAAGUGCUUACUUGUGUGAUAUUCUAGCUUUUGAUGUUAAGAUUUCAGUAAAUCAAUUUGGGGUUUUUGGUUCUAUUUCCAUAGAUGUUCAGAAAAGUCUUAGCUUCCCCCUAAUGCGGAAUUAAAGAGACAAAUUUGGAACUACACUUGCAAGAAUUUGUACAAUUUAAUACACAGAAGAAUCUUAGAAAUGAUCUUAGAUUGUGAUGAAUUGCAACAUAGGAUCUUAUUAUAACUGGCCUCAGAUUCUUUAUGGCUUUGUACAUUACUUUGAGCCAAGUUUUUUUAUAACUUUUGGCUUUGUGAACUUAUUGGGAUAUCUAAGAUGAUACAUACACUGACUCAAUGGAUAAAUGAUUUAUUUAUGCAGUUACGGGGAUUUCUCUUGCUUGCUUGUGUUGCAUGUAGUUGUUGCUCGUUGUUGUUGCUGUUCAUGUUGUUGUUACAAUGAUCUUUAAUUUUGCUUGUUCAUGUUACUGUUGCACUGCUGGCUGCUUGCUGCUAGCUGCUGAAAAGCCUGCAAUUUGUUGCUCAUGUUCAUGUUGCUGCUAGUUGUUGUUGCAUGUUGGAUGUUGCUAGAUUAUAAUUAGACUUUGUUAAGUCAUAAAUUUUGUGAAGGACAGUUAAUUUGCUGCUGCACUGCUGUUGUAUUGUUAAUUUUAAACAAUUAAACUUUGUGAAGGACAGUUAAGGUUAUGAAUUGUCUACUGUCUAGUAUUGCCAAUUUUAAAAGGUUCUUAUUUUGAUUGAUAAAUGAUAACAUGGAGCACAGGUUUGAUUAUUACUCGAAUAUCCGAAUGUACAAUUCAGUAUUCGGUAAUUCGGUUAGUGAC